GACGAACGCUGGCGGCGUGCUUAACACAUGCAAGUCGAACGGAAAGGCCCUGCUUUUGUGGGGUGCUCGAGUGGCGAACGGGUGAGUAACACGUGAGUAACCUGCCCUUGACUUUGGGAUAACUUCAGGAAACUGGGGCUAAUACCGGAUAGGAGCUCCUGCUGCAUGGUGGGGGUUGGAAAGUUUCGGCGGUUGGGGAUGGACUCGCGGCUUAUCAGCUUGUUGGUGGGGUAGUGGCUUACCAAGGCUUUGACGGGUAGCCGGCCUGAGAGGGUGACCGGCCACAAUGGGACUGAGAGACGGCGCAGACUCCUACGGGAGGCAGCAGUGGGGAAUAUUGCACAAUGGGCGGAAGCCUGAUGCAGCAACGCCGCGUGCGGGAUGACGGCCUUCGGGUUGUAAACCGCUUUCGCCUGUGACGAAGCGUGAGUGACGGUAAUGGGUAAAGAAGCAACGGCUAACUACGUG
RNAcentral lists this ribosomal RNA (468 nucleotides) under uncultured bacterium. RNAcentral's name for it is "partial 16S ribosomal RNA". It matches the Rfam family "Bacterial small subunit ribosomal RNA", at positions 28 to 507 of the family's 1533-position model. The record is from RNAcentral.